GACUGGCUGCUGCCUGUGGUCACUGCUCAGGAACCUCCUGAAGACACAACAGUUGUGCCUGAUCCUGGAGAAAAGGUAGAAGACGGGCCAGAGGAUGAUCAUAUAGCACCCCCUGGUAAGUUUAGUUCUGUGGUCUGUCCAUUUCUGUCCUAUUUAUCCUCACCAAUUUGACCAGUAUCAACUUCUUUGUAUACUUAUUUUAUUAUGUGAUGGUAUGUAUCUCUCUCUUGAUCUAAUUUUGUACCUUCUGUUUCCAGAAGAAAUUUUAAAUUAUUUAACUUUAAUGGAGUUUAAGCAAUCUUUUAAAAUUAUUUUAGAUAUGGAAUCUUUCAGUUAUUCAUUCAUUUGUAAUGCCCAUCUUUCUUGGCAAAAUGCCCACUUAUGGUGGCUUAACACAUCUUAAGAUAAAACAAAACAAUGUAAACUAUAAUCAAACAAGAACACCAAGAAAAACAAUACAAAUGGCUAGAAGAGAGAAAGUAAAAGUGGGCAGCAUGGAAGCAGCCAAACUGCAUCCAAAACACGCUGAACACCUCCUUCAGGAUCACCAAAGCAUAUACCCAGCAGCACUUCCAUCUUUUCUCUUGGGUC
Molecule: long non-coding RNA, 591 nt
Organism: Varanus komodoensis (Komodo dragon)
Lineage: Eukaryota; Metazoa; Chordata; Lepidosauria; Squamata; Varanidae
Exons: 3
Source: RefSeq, a predicted model, not a curated record